ACUAUGAACCUACUUGGUUCCUCUACGCGCAUAUGUCCGAAUGAUUCGAACCACUGGCGC
Molecule: non-coding RNA, 60 nt
Filed under: unclassified sequences
Description: MDR-NUDIX RNA
Rfam family: MDR-NUDIX RNA
Source: RNAcentral